Parelaphostrongylus tenuis is the source of this 75-nucleotide non-coding RNA. Lineage: Eukaryota; Metazoa; Nematoda; Chromadorea; Rhabditida; Metastrongylidae. The record is from the annotation of a GenBank genome assembly.
GGCUCGGUGGUGUAGUGGUUAGAGCACGCAUCCCCGGAUAGGAUGAAAUGCGGGUUCGAUUCCCAGCUGAGGCCG